UUGAACGCUGGCGGCAUGCCUUACACAUGCACGUCGAACGGCAGCACGGGUGCUUGCACCUGGUGGCGAGUGGCGAACGGGUGAGUAAUACAUCGGAACAUGUCCUGUAGUGGGGGAUAGCCCGGCGAAAGCCGGAUUAAUACCGCAUACGAUCUACGGAUGAAAGCGGGGGACCUUCGGGCCUCGCGCUAUAGGGUUGGCCGAUGGCUGAUUAGCUAGUUGGUGGGGUAAAGGCCUACCAAGGCGACGAUCAGUAGCUGGUCUGAGAGGACGACCAGCCACACUGGGACUGAGACACGGCCCAGACUCCUACGGGAGGCAGCAGUGGGGAAUGUUGGACAAUGGGCGAAAGCCUGAUCCAGCAAUGCCGCGUGUGUGAAGAAGGCCUUCGGGUUGUAAAGCACUUUUGUCCGGAAAGAAAUCCUUGGCCCUAAUACGGUCGGGGGAUGACGGUACCGGAAGAAUAAGCACCGGCUAACUACGUG
RNAcentral lists this ribosomal RNA (485 nucleotides) under uncultured bacterium. RNAcentral's name for it is "partial 16S ribosomal RNA". It matches the Rfam family "Bacterial small subunit ribosomal RNA", at positions 30 to 507 of the family's 1533-position model. The record is from RNAcentral.